UUAACUCAAAUUUGUAUGAAGUUGGAACAGCGCCCCUAGCGGCAAACGUAGGCAAAAAUUCCAACUGCAUACAAAUUAGAGUUA
This 84-nucleotide microRNA precursor is filed under the name Bombyx mori (domestic silkworm). Its description in RNAcentral is "mir-2807 microRNA precursor family". It matches the Rfam family "mir-2807 microRNA precursor family". Lineage: Eukaryota; Metazoa; Arthropoda; Insecta; Lepidoptera; Bombycidae. The record is from Rfam by way of RNAcentral.